AACGGUCUAUACCUGCGGUACCUGCGGAAGGAUCAUUACCGAGUGCGGGCCCUCGCGGCCCAACCUCCCACCCUUGUCUCUAUACACCUGUUGCUUUGGCGGGCCCACCGGGGCCACCUGGUCGCCGGGGGACGUCGUCUCCGGGCCCGCGCCCGCCGAAGCGCUCUGUGAACCCUGAUGAAGAUGGGCUGUCUGAGUACUAUGAAAAUUGUCAAAACUUUUAACAACGGAUCUCUAGAU
This 240-nucleotide unclassified non-coding RNA is filed under the name soil metagenome. RNAcentral describes it as "partial contains 5.8S ribosomal RNA, internal transcribed spacer 2, and large subunit ribosomal RNA". The record is from RNAcentral.